Molecule: ribosomal RNA, 408 nt
Filed under: uncultured bacterium
Lineage: Bacteria
Description: bacterial SSU rRNA
Rfam family: Bacterial small subunit ribosomal RNA
Source: RNAcentral
GUGGGGAAUAUUGGGCAAUGGAGGGAACUCUGACCCAGCAACGCCGCGUGAGUGAAGAAGGUUUUCGGAUUGUAAAACUCUUUAAGCGGGGACGAAGAAAGUGACUGUACCCGCAGAAUAAGCAUCGGCUAACUACGUGCCAGCAGCCGCGGUAAUACGUAGGAUGCAAGCGUUAUCCGGAAUGACUGGGCGUAAAGGGUGCGUAGGUGGUUUGUCAAGUUGGCAGCGUAAUUCCGUGGCUUAACCGCGGAACUACUGCCAAAACUGAUAGGCUUGAGUGCGGCAGGGGUAUGUGGAAUUCCUAGUGUAGCGGUGGAAUGCGUAGAUAUUAGGAGGAACACCGGUGGCGAAAGCGACAUACUGGGCCGUAACUGACACUGAAGCACGAAAGCGUGGGGAGCAAACAGG